Molecule: long non-coding RNA, 2679 nt
Organism: Coregonus clupeaformis (lake whitefish)
Lineage: Eukaryota; Metazoa; Chordata; Actinopteri; Salmoniformes; Salmonidae
Exons: 2
Source: RefSeq, a predicted model, not a curated record
UCUCUCUCUCUCGUCGCCCUGGGAUCCGUGUUUUGCAUCUCUCCCCAAUUUGCAUUUCUUCUUCACAUUUUCCGUGCGACGGUCUAGCAGCUCGAAACCAUAGAAUAAGGCGUACAACCGCAGCAAUAUCUACAUGCUCCUGGCGUUUCCAAAGCAAUACGCACAGCAGAACCCAUUGGAAAAUUUGAAUAAUGUUGCCGAAGCUUUCCGAAGGGGGAAAUUGAGGAAUUUCUUUGGAUCAAUCCGUUUGUUGCGCACUAGAGGAGACACAUGCCUUCGAGGUAAACAGACAGCAGGACUGGACAGCCAGAUAGUAGCCUAGGUUAUAUUGUUGUUGUCCUGCGUUAUAAGCGGUUACAAGCUUUUAUAACGCCACGGUAGUGGUCCUAAAGUCGAGCAGAUCUUCAUAUUUUUCGAUUGUGCGCCUUGGUUGGUUAUUGAGACGCAGUUGGAAAUGUCUGAAGUACUACAAGACGAAAUGAGUAAUUAUGGAAAUGAGGACGAUGAGGGACACCUUUCCUUCACCUGUCGCCUACAAGACACCAACAACUUCUUCAGCGGCUCGCAGGGGGGCAAACGCCCGCCCAAACUUGGACAGAUAGGCAGAAGCAAACGAGUCGUCGAGGAUGAGAGUGGCGUUGACGAGGCGCAGAAAAACGGGACAGAGAAAACACAGACGGAGGCUUAAACACACCACCCCCGGCCGCCCAAAAGACAUUGAUUCUCAUUUUCUAUUCAAAAUUAACAGUUUUAAUCCAAAGACACUGUAUAUAAGCACUUUUAUCCCAUGUGGCAGCAAGCACUUCCAGACCCUCUCCCCCCUCUCCCAGUCCUCAUGAUGGUGAUCUCCUGGGACUUAUACUGGCAGGAUGGGGAAGCAGCCAAGACAGAGAUGAAGACAGAGACAGACACAGAGAUAGAGACAGAGACGGUAAUGGAUACAGAGGCCCAGGUGAAUGCUGUCAUGCCAGGGUUUACGCCCAUAGAGCUUGUCUAAAACAAGUAUGACCAACCUUCCACAUAGAGAGCUACUGGGUGAGCAGCAGGGUUUUGCUAAAGCCCUACACAUUUUACACUAGUCAAUUAUUGGUCGUAGAAAACUCCUAAGCAGGCGACCAACAAGUGUAGCAGUCUAAAAACUGUAUUUUCACGGUCCUGGGUAGCAGCUAAUUCAUAGCAUUAGGUGUGUUAGAGUAGGGAUGGAUCAAAACCCUGCCGGAGGGGAUAGCUCUCAAGGAGGAGGGUCUAAACCAUGUGACCAGGAGAGGAUGUGGAUCAAGGAGGAAGAGGAGUUGAGGAAGAGGAGAAGGAGGAAGAGGAGAAGGAGGAAGAGGAGAGGAGGAAGAUAAGGUUCCAGCGGUAGAAGGAGACAAUGCUGUCGAACAGGCGCAGAAAUCAGGGAACAAACUAUAGACAUGAUCUAAUAAACUAAAGCACACACUCUUAUAUCAAUCAAACCAUAUGAUAUUACAUUACCAUUCUUUCUGCUCUUGAUUCUUCUAAAGACAAGUGCAAACAAAUAAAUCAUAUAAAUAACUUGUAAAUAACAAAUGGUACAGAUGUAGGAUCUUAAUUUGAUCACCCUGUUGCAGUAAAACUUGUAGUGUAUUUGAGGUUUAAAAGGGCAUCUGAAGUUAGUAAUUUCCACUUUGAAAUUUCAGACUUGAUUUUCCCUAAUGAAAAAUCUGUCAACCCCUACAAGUGUCCAUUAAUUAUAAUCCACAUAAGAAUUAACAUUUCCUGUUGCUGCAGGAUUAUUUUCCUGCUGUAGCAAACUGGCUCAAAUUAAGAUCCUGCAUCUGUAGCCCCACGUUCUGUUAGCCUGUGUGCCAGUCGGUUUCUGCUCUCUUGUCAACUCCUUGUGGAAUUCUCAUGUUUGGCGUGACAAUGAGUCGUGAUGUGGACCUGGCAAGACAGCACGAACAGAUCUGAGACCAGGCUAACGUUUUGUUGCACAGCUGAGAAUAGAAGCAGUGAAAUGGUUUGUUGUAAUCUAACGUAAUGUGUCUGUAUAAAGAGACCUUAUUUAUUGACCCUUUGGAUAAGUCUUUUGCAGUGCUCAAGGCCUGACUGAGGGAGAGUUUUGUAUGUAGAGACUUACGAUGACAGAAUUAAUUAAAGUGAUUUUUUCUUUUUUUUACUUCUUAUAAAUGUUGAUGUCGCCUGAUCAGUUUUUGUUACCAUCCUUUGCAGCUAUAGAGUAAUUUAUACACAUUAUACAGUACUGUACAUCACUUGUCUGUAAGGGGCCAAGAGGCCUAAAGUUUGGAUUGUUAAAUAUAACUAUACACACUCCCUAUUGAUAAACUAUUUCUAUUGCAUUGCGCAUUGUCCUGUGUGCCAAAUAUCAUGAGGGAUAACCAGACAACUUUGUUGUUUAUGUUGUGCUUUCUAUACGUUUAAUUGUAACAAUUUUUGUUAUUCUUCUGUUGUUGCUGUUGUUCAGGGCUCUUUCUUACCACUGAAUUACCAACUGAUGCAUGGCAGAAAUUGAAUCAUGCAUGGCAACGUUCUGAAGAUGAUCUAUUGUAUUCUAGAACACCUCAAAUACUGCUUUGAAUGACUAUCCUCCAGAACAGUCUUAACAUUACGUACGCUGUACUGUACUGUACUGUACUAUGAUCUCACUGAUUUGUACAGUAGCCUAAUAUCUUGUAAUAAAGAUUCUGAAGAAGUUAA